Molecule: ribosomal RNA, 487 nt
Filed under: uncultured bacterium
Lineage: Bacteria
Description: bacterial SSU rRNA
Rfam family: Bacterial small subunit ribosomal RNA
Source: RNAcentral
GAUGAACGCUAGCGGCAGGCCUAAUACAUGCAAGUCAAGGGGUAGCAAUACAACCGGCGCACGGGUGAGUAACGCGUACACAACAUACCAUAUACUGGAGUAUAGCUUUGGGAAACUGAAGGUAAUCCUCCAUAACAUUGCGAGAGGGCAUCUGAUUGCAAUUAAAGUUUCGGCGGUAUAUGAUUGGUGUGCGUUUUGAUUAGCUAGUUGGUAGGGUAACGGCCUACCAAGGCGACGAUCAAUAGCUGGCGUGAGAGCGCGACCAGCCACACUGGAACUGAGACACGGUCCAGACUCCUACGGGAGGCAGCAGUAGGGAAUAUUGGACAAUGGAGGAAACUCUGAUCCAGCCAUGCCGCGUGAUAGAUGAAGGCCCUCUGGGUUGUAAAUAUCUUUUAUCUGGGAAGAAACACUCCUAUUCUUAGGAACUUGACGGUACCAGAGGAAUAAGCACCGGCUAACUCCGUGCCAGCAGCCGCGGUAAAGU